GUGGGGAAUAUUGGACAAUGGGCGAAAGCCUGAUCCAGCCAUGCCGCGUGUGUGAAGAAGGUCUUCGGAUUGUAAAGCACUUUAAGUUGGGAGGAAGGGCAGUAAGUUAAUACCUUGCUGUUUUGACGUUACCGACAGAAUAAGCACCGGCUAACUUCGUGCCAGCAGCCGCGGUAAUACGAAGGGUGCAAGCGUUAAUCGGAAUUACUGGGCGUAAAGCGCGCGUAGGUGGUUUUGUAAGUUGGAGGUGAAAUCCCCGGACUCAACCUGGGAACUGCCUCCAAAACUGCAAGACUAGAGUACGGUAGAGGGUAGUGGAAUUUCCUGUGUAGCGGUGAAAUGCGUAGAUAUAGGAAGGAACACCAGUGGCGAAGGCGACUACCUGGACUGAUACUGACACUGAGGUGCGAAAGCGUGGGGAGCAAACAGGAUUAGAUACCCCUGUAGUCC
Molecule: ribosomal RNA, 450 nt
Filed under: uncultured bacterium
Lineage: Bacteria
Description: bacterial SSU rRNA
Rfam family: Bacterial small subunit ribosomal RNA
Source: RNAcentral